UAAUCUUUUGCCUUUUAAUGGAGGCUAGUAUGAAUGGGCAGACCGGGGUUUAGCUGUCUCUCUUUUAGGUUCUUGAAUUUAUUAUCUUUGUGAAGAAACGAAGAUGUUGUCGUAGGACGAGAAGACCCUAUCGAGCUUUAGUUAUUGGUUAAGGCUAAAGGUUUAAUUUUGUUGGGCUAAUAAAAAUAGAGAAUAAUCUUACUCAACAACAAAAACAGAGUUGUUAACUAAAAUGCUUUGGUUGGGGCAACCGCGGAGAAAAAUCACCCUCCGCUUUUUUAAAUGAAAAAUUAUUAUUUUUAGUGAUCGAAUGUGUUUAAAAUGAUCCACUAAAAAGUGAUCAAAAGAACAAGUUACCGUAGGGAUAACAGCGUAAUUUUUUUGGAGAGUUCAUAUUGAUAAAAAAGUUUGCGACCUCGAUGUUGGAUCGGGACUUCCAGGAGAUGCAGCAGUUUCCAAGGGUUGGUCUGUUCGACCAUUAAAGUCCUACGUGAUCUGAGUCAGACCGGA
This 510-nucleotide ribosomal RNA is filed under the name Astropecten javanicus. RNAcentral's name for it is "partial 16S ribosomal RNA". It matches the Rfam family "Bacterial large subunit ribosomal RNA", at positions 1962 to 2620 of the family's 2925-position model. Lineage: Eukaryota; Metazoa; Echinodermata; Asteroidea; Paxillosida; Astropectinidae. The record is from RNAcentral.